Molecule: non-coding RNA, 2582 nt
Organism: Leptonychotes weddellii (Weddell seal)
Lineage: Eukaryota; Metazoa; Chordata; Mammalia; Carnivora; Phocidae
Source: RefSeq, a predicted model, not a curated record
CCUGCAGGGCCCACCCUCAGUACUUUGCAUUGUGUGAGAUCCCAGGACCUUUUCGUGAUCCCAGAAGGGGGACAGAUCAUUCCCCACCACCUGGCAGGGUAGAGACUUGGUCUGAUCUAACUGGAUGGAAAGAAAAGCGAUGUGGCGUUUCUUUUACACCUGGUUUUGUGAUUGCGGAUCCACACCUGAUCUCCUAUCCUUCACUGGCUUGGCUCCCUUGCCUCAUCCCUGACUCACGGAGCUUUGCUAGCAAGAGCACAGAAAUAUAUGUAGAAGCAAGAGGGUUGGAGCUCUGCUUGUGACCUGUUAUGUGACCCUGAGUAAAUUCUUUUUCCAUUGAACAGGGAGAGAGAAUGGGCCAGAGGGCCUCUGCCAGCUGACUUGAGGAUUCUAGUGGGUUUGGCUGAACUAGAGUCCAUUACAAAGAGGAAGCCCAGCCCAGAGGGAUUAGGUGGCUUCUCCAAGUCUGCAGAGCCAGUAAGAGACAGGGCGGGACUCAUGCUCUGGUUAGGGGUUCAGAGCAUGAAUUCCGGAGCCAGACUGCUAGGGUUUGAAUCCUGGCUCUGCCAUCUAGCAGCUGGAUGACUUUGGGCAAGCUACUUAAAGUACCUGGACGUCCAUCUCCUCAUCCACAGAACAGGAGGUGACUGUGCCAGAGGACAGCUGGGAGGAGGAGGACUGGAGAAAGCAUGGGACUAACCUGGAGGCAAGUAGGGGAGAGGAAUGGAGCUCCCCUUAUCUCACAAUGGCCCAGAAUCCCCCUGAGCCAGACAGGAGAGACUUGAGAUUUCGGUUUUGCUCUGGGGAAAGAAGCUGAUAAGAAAGGAUAAACUAAGGACACUGAAGAGAAGAGAUAAUGCGGAGAGAUCAGAUGAGGUCUAGAGUACGUGGGAGGAACAGCCUUGGACAGGAAGAGAGACAACCCUCCCUCUGAACGUCAUUCAACCUACAAGAAUUACCUACGGCAACGGCUGGGUGACAGCAGUGAAUACAAUGACCACAUGGUCCCGCACUCAUGGAGCUUGGGCACUAGGAAAGAAGACAGGGAUGGCAAAGGGCACACAGUCCAGGGGGUGGGGAAGUAUGAGACGUUUCUCUUCAUCCCUCUGCUGCUGUGUUUGUGACUAGGCCUGCACGGGGACAUAUAAUCACUUGCCCCCCAUCAGACUACCAGCAAUUUCCUGGGGCAGGAACUAAUGCUUUCCUUAACCCAGCUCUCAGGUUGGGAGUGCUAGCAACCACAGGGGCCCAAGACAGGGCAGCUCCUCUUCUGGCUGCCCUUCCCUAACUUAUUUAGAUUCUACUGGACCUUCCCUGCCCUGCCCUGGUGCCCUCACCUCCGAACACCAGAGAGACUCACUGUCCACGCCCUCUGCUGUUGGGGAGGAGGAAUCCACCUGGAUUUAGAAGACUUGGGCCCUGCUGUUGUUGUUGCCUCUGCCAUUUACAGGCUGUAUUAUCUCUGGCAAGUCCUACAACUCCCUUGAGUCCUAGUUUGUCCAUCUGUAUAAUAGGAUUGAUGAGAACACCUGUCAACUUCUGAGCUCCCAGAGUUGUGGAGACCCUCCAAUGAGGUACAUGUCAACGUGCUUUGUAAAGGACCACACCAUGGCCACAGCUUGAGGCAGGCUUUUGAUUUGGUGUCUGGAGUGAUAGGCAGUUCCUGGUCAGGGUAGCCCAGGUAGCAGGGGGCACAGUCACUGACAGUAUAAAUUUGUAGGGGGAUUAAUUGGCUCCCCCCCCCAAAAAAAACACGGUCUCCACUGUAAUUAACUCUUGCCCUCCCUAUGCUCCCCUAGCCAAUGCAGUAUUUUGCAGGACUGCUUUGUGAAAAGGGGGUUUUUGAAGAGUGUCUAGCUGGAUGGGCUCCAGGCGGCAGCCUAUCAUCCCGACUGAUGAGGCCACAGGCUGGUGCAUGCCAGCGCUGUCCACUCAGAGGGGGAAGGGGCCAUCUCGGGGAGCCAGUGCAGCUGGCAGAGCCCAGGCCCUUGGGGACAAAGUGGCUCUGAGCCGCCUCUCAAUGGGUGCCUGUGUUCUGGGAGUGGGGGCGGGGUGCCCUCAGCCUCUUUUCCCUCUUCUCCCGCCACCCCCCACCCGCCCUUCCUGCUCCCCGCAGGACGUCCUGGUCUGGACACUGGGGCAGAGGAGGUCCUGCACAGGGGAAGGUCGGGCCCUGCCCCUCUAGGGUUGGCCCAUGUGCCUGGGCACUCGGAGGUGGCACCAGGAUCAGGGCUUCUGGGGUCCGGGAUACUGAUUGGGCCCAGGCCGAGGGCGGGCCCAGGGCACGGCCAGGCCUCCCCGGCUGCAGAGUCCGGCGGCCUGCUGUGGCCAUGGUGGCUCGAGCGGGAGGAGCCACCGUGGAGCCGGGGGCGGGGGCGCAGGACAGUACCGGGCUGGGUGAGGGGGUGGGGAAGUGUGAGCCCGGGCUGGGUGGGCGUCGCCGGUGGGUGGCCGCCUGGGCCGGGCGCGGAGCGAGGGGGGCAGGGUUACCGCGGCCCGGGCCUUAGUCCCGCCCUCGCAGGAGGCGGGAGAGGAAACCGAGCCUAGCGGCGGGCUGGGCCCCGCAGCAGCUCCCGCCGGCC